Molecule: ribosomal RNA, 765 nt
Filed under: uncultured Streptococcus sp.
Lineage: Bacteria; Bacillati; Bacillota; Bacilli; Lactobacillales; Streptococcaceae
Description: bacterial SSU rRNA
Rfam family: Bacterial small subunit ribosomal RNA
Source: RNAcentral
GACGAACGCUGGCGGCGUGCCUAAUACAUGCAAGUAGAACGCUGAGGACUGGUGCUUGCACCGGUCCAAGGAGUUGCGAACGGGUGAGUAACGCGUAGGUAACCUACCUCAUAGCGGGGGAUAACUAUUGGAAACGAUAGCUAAUACCGCAUAAAAGUGUUUAACCCAUGUUAAACAUUUAAAAGGUGCAACUGCAUCACUAUGAGAUGGACCUGCGUUGUAUUAGCUAGUUGGUGAGGUAACGGCUCACCAAGGCGACGAUACAUAGCCGACCUGAGAGGGUGAUCGGCCACACUGGGACUGAGACACGGCCCAGACUCCUACGGGAGGCAGCAGUAGGGAAUCUUCGGCAAUGGACGGAAGUCUGACCGAGCAACGCCGCGUGAGUGAAGAAGGUUUUCGGAUCGUAAAACUCUGUUGUUAGAGAAGAAUGAUGGUGGGAGUGGAAAAUCCACCAUGUGACGGUAACUAACCAGAAAGGGACGGCUAACUACGUGCCAGCAGCCGCGGUAAUACGUAGGUCCCGAGCGUUGUCCGGAUUUAUUGGGCGUAAAGCGAGCGCAGGCGGUUCUUUAAGUCUGAAGUUAAAGGCAGUGGCUCAACCAUUGUACGCCUUGGAAACUGGAGAACUUGAGUGCAGAAGGGGAGAGUGGAAUUCCAUGUGUAGCGGUGAAAUGCGUAGAUAUAUGGAGGAACACCGGUGGCGAAAGCGGCUCUCUGGUCUGUAACUGACGCUGAGGCUCGAAAGCGUGGGGAGCAAACAGG